This 233-nucleotide ribosomal RNA is filed under the name uncultured bacterium. Its description in RNAcentral is "partial 16S ribosomal RNA". It matches the Rfam family "Bacterial small subunit ribosomal RNA", at positions 118 to 348 of the family's 1533-position model. The record is from RNAcentral.
UGAGGAACAUGACCUUCGGCGGGGGAUAGCCGGCCCAACGGCCGGGUAAUACCGCGUACGACCACAUGGGGACAUCCCUGAGUGGUGAAAGCAGCAAUGCGCCGAUGGAGUGCCUCGCGGCCUAUCAGCUAGUUGGUGAGGUAACGGCUCACCAAGGCAACGACGGGUAGCUGGUCUGAGAGGAUGGCCAGCCACAUUGGGACUGAGACACGGCCCAGACCUNUACCGGGAGG